RNAcentral lists this ribosomal RNA (558 nucleotides) under uncultured archaeon. RNAcentral describes it as "bacterial SSU rRNA". It matches the Rfam family "Archaeal small subunit ribosomal RNA", at positions 266 to 824 of the family's 1478-position model. The record is from RNAcentral.
GGUACGGGUUGUGAGAGCAAGAGCCCGGAGAUGGAUUCUGAGACACGAAUCCAGGCCCUACGGGGUGCAGCAGGCGCGAAAACUUUACAAUGCCGGCAACGGCAAUAAGGGGACCUCGAGUGCCAGGUUACAAAUCUGGCUGUCGUGAUGCCUAAAAAGCAUUGCAUAGCAAGGGCCGGGCAAGACCGGUGCCAGCCGCCGCGGUAACACCGGCGGCUCGAGUGGUAACCGUUAUUAUUGGGUCUAAAGGGUCUGUAGCCGGCCGGAUAAGUCUCUUGAGAAAUCCAGCAGCUCAACUGUUGGGCUUUCAGGAGAUACUGUUCGGCUCGAGGCCGGGAGAGGUGAGAGGUACUUCAGGGGUAGGGGUGAAAUCUUGUAAUCCUUGAAGGACCACCAGUGGCGAAGGCGUCUCACCAGAACGGACCUGACGGCAAGGGACGAAAGCUAGGGGCACGAACCGGAUUAGAUACCCGGGUAGUCCUAGCCGUAAACGAUACUCGCUAGGUGUCGGCCACGGUGCGACCGUUGUCGGUGCCGUAGGGAAGCCGUGAAGCGAGC